AAGAGGAGGAGCAGGGUUGAAAAGUUCAUGUACCAGAGCCUGCCCUACCUGAGGGACCCUCAGUCCCCUGUGCGCCUGGCAGCCGUCAGGUUCAUCGGGUGCGCCACGAGGCACAUGAGGGACCAGGACAUGGAGACCCAGGCUCACAUCCUCACUGCCCUUCAGCCCUUGGAGAGAGACAAGGACAUCUCAAUCAGCUCCCUGGCAGCCCACACAGGCUUGCUCCUGAGAGCUCCAAGGGUGCAGAGAAGAUCGUGGGUCAUUCUACACACACUGUGCUGCUGGUGUCGGUGAGCUCAGCAGAGCUGCAGCUGUCUGUGCAUUAAUAAAGCUGGAGAAACACAUCCA
RNAcentral lists this long non-coding RNA (348 nucleotides) under Zonotrichia albicollis (white-throated sparrow). RNAcentral describes it as "lncRNA (ENSZALG00000008813.1)". The record is from RNAcentral. Lineage: Eukaryota; Metazoa; Chordata; Aves; Passeriformes; Passerellidae.